AUUGAACGCUGGCGGCAGGCUUAACACAUGCAAGUCGAGCGGAGAGAGGUAGCUUGCUACUGAUCUUAGCGGCGGACGGGUGAGUAAUGCCUAGGAAUCUGCCUAUUAGUGGGGGACAACAUUUCGAAAGGAAUGCUAAUACCGCAUACGUCCUACGGGAGAAAGCAGGGGAUCUUCGGACCUUGCGCUAAUAGAUGAGCCUAAGUCGGAUUAGCUAGUUGGUGGGGUAAAGGCCUACCAAGGCGACGAUCUGUAGCGGGUCUGAGAGGAUGAUCCGCCACACUGGGACUGAGACACGGCCCAGACUCCUACGGGAGGCAGCAGUGGGGAAUAUUGGACAAUGGGCGGAAGCCUGAUCCAGCCAUGCCGCGUGUGUGAAGAAGGCCUUAUGGUUGUAAAGCACUUUAGGCGAGGAGGAGGCUACUUUAGUUAAUACCUAGAGAUAGUGGACGUUACUCGCAGAAUAAGCACCGGCUAACUCUGUGCCAGCAGCCGCAGUAA
RNAcentral lists this ribosomal RNA (501 nucleotides) under uncultured bacterium. RNAcentral describes it as "partial 16S ribosomal RNA". It matches the Rfam family "Bacterial small subunit ribosomal RNA", at positions 30 to 523 of the family's 1533-position model. The record is from RNAcentral.